GAAUCUUAGACAAUGGGCGCAAGCCUGAUCUAGCCAUGCCGCGUGAGUGAUGAAGGCCUUAGGGUCGUAAAGCUCUUUCGCUGGGGAAGAUAAUGACGGUACCCAGUCAAGAAACCCCGGCUAACUCCGUGCCCGCCGCCGCGGUAAUACGGAGGGGGUUAGCGUUGUUCGGAAUUACUGGGCGUAAAGCGCACGUAGGCGGACUGGAAAGUUGGGGGUGAAAUCCCGGGGCUCAACCUCGGAACUGCCUCCAAAACUAUCAGUCUGGAGUUCGAGAGAGGUGAGUGGAAUUCCGAGUGUAGAGGUGAAAUUCGUAGAUAUUCGGAGGAACACCAGUGGCGAAGGCGGCUCACUGGCUCGAUACUGACGCUGAGGUGCGAAAGUGUGGGGAGCAAACAGG
This 400-nucleotide ribosomal RNA is filed under the name uncultured bacterium. RNAcentral's name for it is "bacterial SSU rRNA". It matches the Rfam family "Bacterial small subunit ribosomal RNA", at positions 359 to 776 of the family's 1533-position model. The record is from RNAcentral.